CAACAAACUGGGAUGGGGUCGUUGGGUGAUCAAGAAUGCCCAUGGCCAAGGUCAAAGUCCUCUAUUCCACUUUGGUGGUGCGUUGGCCUUAGGACUGCUCGUUGUAGCAGUGCCUACGUCCUACUUUUGGCAGCAUGGCCCCGCAUUUGUGUGGCCCUA
RNAcentral lists this small nuclear RNA (159 nucleotides) under Eucalyptus grandis. Its description in RNAcentral is "U1 spliceosomal RNA". It matches the Rfam family "U1 spliceosomal RNA". Rfam says of the family: U1 is a small nuclear RNA (snRNA) component of the spliceosome (involved in pre-mRNA splicing). Its 5' end forms complementary base pairs with the 5' splice junction, thus defining the 5' donor site of an intron. There are significant differences in sequence and secondary structure between metazoan and yeast U1 snRNAs, the latter being much longer (568 nucleotides as compared to 164 nucleotides in human). The record is from Rfam by way of RNAcentral. Lineage: Eukaryota; Viridiplantae; Streptophyta; Magnoliopsida; Myrtales; Myrtaceae.